AAGAACUUGCCUCACAGAUAGGGACAACAUUUGGAAACGAAUGCUAAUACCUGAUAUUAUGAUUAUAUGGCAUCGUAUAAUUAUGAAAGCUAUAUGCGCUGUGAGAGAGCUUUGCGUUCCAUUAGCUAGUUGGAGAGGUAACGGCUCACCAAGGCGAUGAUGGGUAGCCGGCCUGAGAGGGUGAUCGGCCACAAGGGGACUGAGACACGGCCCUUACUCCUACGGGAGGCAGCAGUGGGGAAUAUUGGACAAUGGACCAAGAGUCUGAUCCAGCAAUUCUGUGUGCACGAUGAAGUUUUUCGGAAUGUAAAGUGCUUUCAGUUGGGAAGAAAAAAAUGACGGUACCAACAGAAGAAGUGACGGCUAAAUACGUGCCAGCAGCCGCGGUAAUACGUAUGUCACAAGCGUUAUCUGGAUUUAUUGGGCGUAAAGCGCGUCUAGGUGGUUAUGUAAGUCUGAUGUGAAAAUGCAGGGCUCAACUCUGUAUUGCGUUGGAAACUGUGUAACUAGAGUACUGGAGAGGUAAGCGGAACUACAAGUGUAGAGGUGAAAUUCGUAGAUAUUUGUAGGAAUGCCGAUGGGGAAGCCAGCUUACUGGAC
This 600-nucleotide ribosomal RNA is filed under the name uncultured bacterium. RNAcentral's name for it is "bacterial SSU rRNA". It matches the Rfam family "Bacterial small subunit ribosomal RNA", at positions 120 to 734 of the family's 1533-position model. The record is from RNAcentral.